UAUUUCUCUCGAGUCACUCCGGCGCUGCUCUUGUGCCUCGUGUGUGUUGGACAGCCAGCCCACAUUGCUUUCUAAUACCUGUGAGACUUUUCAAGAUGCCUGAGGAAGUGCACCAUGGAGAGGAGGAGGUGGAAACUUUUGCCUUUCAGGCAGAAAUUGCCCAACUCAUGUCUCUCAUCAGCAAUACCUGCUAUUUCAACAAGGAGAUUUUCCUUCGGGAGUUGAUCUCUAAUGCUUCUGAUGCCUUGGACAAGAUUUGCUAUGAGAGCCUGACAGACCCUUCCAAGUUGGACAGUGGUAAAGAGCUGAAAAUUGAAAUUAUCCCCAACCAUCAGAAACGUACCUUGACUUUGGUAGACACAGGCAUUGGCAUGACCAAAGCAGAUCUCAUAAAUAAUUUGGAAACCAUUGCCAAGUCUGGUACUCAAGCAUUCAUGGAGGUUCUUCAGGCUGGUGCAGACAUCUCCAUGAUUGGGCAAUUUGGUGUUGGCUUUUAUUCUGCCUACCUGGUGGCAGAGAAUGUGGUCGUGAUCACAAAGCACAACGACGAUGAACAGUAUGCCUGGGAGUCUUCUGCUGGAGGUUCCUUCGCUGUGCUUGCUGACCAUGGUGAGCUCAUUGGCAGGGGUACUAAAGUGAUCCUCUACCUUAAAGAAGAUCAGACAGAGUACUUAGAAGAAAGGCGGGUCAAGAAGUGGUGAAGAAGCACUCUCAGUUCAUAGGCUGUCCUGUCACCCUUUAUUUGGAGAAGCAACAAGAGAAGGAAAUUAGUGAUGAUGAGGCAGAGGAAGAGAAAGGUGAGAAAGAAAAGGAAGAUAAAGAUGGUGAGAAAAGCCCAAGACUGAAGAUGUGGGUUCAGAUGAGGAUGAUAGCGGUAAGGAUAAGAAGAAGAAAACUAAGAAGAUCAAAGAGAAAUACAUUGAUCAGGAAGAACUAAACAAGACCCAGCCUAUUUGGACCAGAAACCCUGAUAACAUCAUUCAAGAGGAGUAUGGAGAAUUCUACAAACCUCACCAAUGACUGGGAAGACCACUUGGGAGUCAAGCACUUUUCUGUAGAAGGUCAGUUGGAAUUCAGGGCAUUGCUGUUCAUACCUCGUCGGUAUGAAAAGCAACCUCCCUUUGACCUUUUUGAGAACAAGAAGAAAAAGAACAACAUCAAACUCUAUGUCCGUCGUGUAUUCAUCAUGGACAGCUGUGAUGAGCUGAUACCAGAGUAUCUCUACUUUAUCCGUGGUGGGGUUGACUGAGGAUUUAUCUCUCAA
Molecule: RNA transcript, 1264 nt
Organism: Sapajus apella (tufted capuchin)
Lineage: Eukaryota; Metazoa; Chordata; Mammalia; Primates; Cebidae
Gene name: heat shock protein HSP 90-beta pseudogene
Exons: 1
Source: RefSeq, a predicted model, not a curated record